Molecule: RNA transcript, 1537 nt
Organism: Zingiber officinale
Lineage: Eukaryota; Viridiplantae; Streptophyta; Magnoliopsida; Zingiberales; Zingiberaceae
Gene name: cell division cycle protein 123 homolog
Exons: 3
Source: RefSeq, a predicted model, not a curated record
CAUGUGAUACGUCACGUUCCGGCAGCAAGACCUAGUUCGCAAGCAGGGGGAUCCGCGAUGAGCAAAGAGGCGGCGAAAGAAGAAGAAGAGGUGGAAUUGCUGCGGUGCCAAAUCAACGAAUGGUAUCCCAAGUUCAAGACCCACACCAUCCGCACCCUCUUCCACCCCCUCCCUCAACCCUUCAUCCGUUACCUCCUCGGCCUCCAUCCCCACCGGGACGCCGCCGGCGCUGAUGACCACGAUGACGGCGACGAUGACGGCGGCGAUGACGCCUCCUCCUCCGAUGCUCCCCCCUUUCUCCUCCCCCGACCCACCUCCGGCCGCGAUCCCCUCCCCCGCCCUACCCUUGGCGUCGACCCCACCUCCCUCCUCGAUUGCUCGCAGCUCUCCGACGACGAUGAAGAAAACGAGGAGGCCGACCCCGCCCCCUCGUUUCCCGACCUGGAAGAGGCGGUCGAGCGCUCCAUUGCUUCCCUUGGCGGCGCCGCUUUCCCUAAGCUUAAUUGGAGCGCCCCCAAGGAUGCUACCUGGAUCUCCGCCGACGGAACCCUCCGCUGCUCCUCGUUCACCGACGUCGCCUUGCUCCUCCACUCCUCUGAUUCCGUCGCUCACGACCUCUCUUCCCAGCCUGCCGCUUCCGAUUCCGCUUCUUCGCCUUUCGUCUUCUACCUCGCCCUCCGAAAGUGGUACCCUUCACUCCGGCCUGAGAUGGAAUUCCGUUGUUUCGUCCGCCACCGUCGCCUGGUCGCCAUCUCCCAGCGCGAGGUCACCAACUUCUACCCUUCCCUUCUCGAUCGGUACCACCGUCUCCUGCCCCUCAUCCGAGACUUGUUCUCCGAGGUCAUUCGCCCUGGAUUUGAGUCACAAAACUACACCUUUGAUGUGUAUGUCACCAGCGAUGGCAGGGUGAAGCUGAUCGACUUCAACCCGUGGCGCGCUUUCACCUUACCACUCCUUUUUACCUGGGAGGAGUUGGAGGAAGAGGCAUUUACUUCAGAUGAUGAAGAAGAAGAAGAAAUAGGCAAAGAACAUGAACGAAAGAGGGACGUGGAGUUUAGAAUCGUGGAGAGCCAAUGUGGAGUGAGGCCAGGGUUGAAAACGGCAGUGCCUUAUGACUACUUGGAUACAGGGGAAGGCAGUGGAUGGGAUCAGUUCUUGAAGAGAGCCGAUGAGGAGCUGAGGAAGCAGACACAGAGUACUUCACGUGAUGGCGACAAAGCUUGAAGAAGAUCCAGGCGUCUCGGCUUCAUUCCUUCUUGAAGUAUAACCAGGUUUGCAUGAAUAAAGUUUCUGUUAAGUUUGAUUGGAAUAAAUUAUUCACAUUUGGUUCAAAGAACAGACCUAUUAUUCAACUAUUUUGAGAUUUGUUGCUGUAUCAGUACUGGUUGUGCAUCACACAUUCAAAGACCAAUUUCCGAUCAGGAAUCAGUACUGGAUUUUAGCUUUUAGAACAUAUUUUUGCUCUCAACCUGUUCACCCCUGGACAAUUAUAUGUAUUCUCUGUUUUGGUUAAUCUUAUAUUCAUCAUUGUUACUUC